GAUGAACGCUGGCGGCGUGCCUAAUACAUGCAAGUCGAGCGAACAGAUGAGGGGCUUGCUCCUCUGACGUUAGCGGCGGACGGGUGAGUAACACGUGGAUAACCUACCUAUAAGACUGGGAUAACUUCGGGAAACCGGAGCUAAUACCGGAUAAUAUAUUGAACCGCAUGGUUCAAUAGUGAAAGACGGUUUUGCUGUCACUUAUAGAUGGAUCCGCGCCGCAUUAGCUAGUUGGUAAGGUAACGGCUUACCAAGGCAACGAUGCGUAGCCGACCUGAGAGGGUGAUCGGCCACACUGGAACUGAGACACGGUCCAGACUCCUACGGGAGGCAGCAGUAGGGAAUCUUCCGCAAUGGGCGAAAGCUUGACGGAGCAACGCCGCGUGAGUGAUGAAGGUCUUCGGAUCGUAAAACUCUGUUAUUAGGGAAGAACAAAUGUGUAAGUAACUAUGCACGUCUUGACGGUACCUAAUCAGAAAGCCACGGCUAACUACGUG
This 497-nucleotide ribosomal RNA is filed under the name uncultured bacterium. Its description in RNAcentral is "partial 16S ribosomal RNA". It matches the Rfam family "Bacterial small subunit ribosomal RNA", at positions 28 to 507 of the family's 1533-position model. The record is from RNAcentral.